RNAcentral lists this ribosomal RNA (81 nucleotides) under Tulostoma kotlabae. RNAcentral describes it as "partial 5.8S ribosomal RNA". It matches the Rfam family "5.8S ribosomal RNA", at positions 74 to 154 of the family's 154-position model. From Rfam's summary of the family: 5.8S ribosomal RNA (5.8S rRNA) is a component of the large subunit of the eukaryotic ribosome. It is transcribed by RNA polymerase I as part of the 45S precursor that also contains 18S and 28S rRNA. Functionally, it is thought that 5.8S rRNA may be involved in ribosome translocation. The record is from RNAcentral. Lineage: Eukaryota; Fungi; Basidiomycota; Agaricomycetes; Agaricales; Agaricaceae.
GCAGAAUUCAGUGAAUCAUCGAAUCUUUGAACGCACCUUGCGCUCCUUGGUAUCCCGAGGAGCAUGCCUGUUUGAGUGUCA